Molecule: ribosomal RNA, 495 nt
Filed under: uncultured bacterium
Lineage: Bacteria
Description: partial 16S ribosomal RNA
Rfam family: Bacterial small subunit ribosomal RNA
Source: RNAcentral
GAUGAACGCUGGCGGCGUGCCUAAUACAUGCCAGUCGAACGCUGAAGGAGGAGCUUGCUCUUCUGGAUGAGUUGCGAACGGGUGAGUAACGCGUAGGUAACCUGCCUGGUAGCGGGGGAUAACUAUUGGAAACGAUAGCUAAUACCGCAUGACAACAGUUAUUGCAUGAUAACUGUUUAAAAGGGGCAACUGCUCCACUACCAGAUGGACCUGCGUUGUAUUAGCUAGUUGGUGAGGUAACGGCUCACCAAGGCGACGAUACAUAGCCGACCUGAGAGGGUGAUCGGCCACACUGGGACUGAGACACGGCCCAGACUCCUACGGGAGGCAGCAGUAGGGAAUCUUCGGCAAUGGACGGAAGUCUGACCGAGCAACGCCGUGUGAGUGAAGAAGGGUUUCGGAUCGUAAAGCUCUGUUGUAAGAGAAGAACGAGGGUGAGAGUGGAAAGUUCACACUGUGACGGUAGCUUACCAGAAAGGGACGGCUAACUACGUG